UCUAGUUAGGACACUCCUGGCUCAAGGAGGCACACCUGUAACUCAUUGAGCUGCAGGUGUUUAUAAAGCAACUUGGGAGUGGGACCAGAGCUUCUUGGAUGCUAUGCAGAGAAGGCCAACAUCAACAGCUGUGGGAGGAGGAGUAGAGGAGUAGAGCAUUAAAGAAAGCCUGAGGACAGGCAGGUCGGUGUUGGAAUUGGAAGAAUUAAUGUAACAUGCAGAUGGAAGAUCAAGAUGCUGCUGCAGACAGCAUGCAGAUGUCCCACAGGACGGUCAACCAGUCUAUGCAUGGUUUCACCAUUGUAGAGGAGACCACACGGUGUACAUCAAAGGUGCAUGUGAAUCUGUGUUGCAUUGGGAAGGGCUGUUUUGGCUCUUGGAUAGAGAAUGCACAGGGACAGGACUGGCACCUCCUAUGGUUGCAGGGGAAAAUGACAAGGGAGGAGGAGGGGUGGGUGAAAUGGAUGAGUAGACCAGAAAGGGAGUGGUUCCUGUGGACUACCUGAAAUCUCACAACACUCUGUCUACUGUUGCCUAUCCUCAGGGUAGGUAGGCUCUUUGGAGCAAUGGAGAAGGGUAGCAGUAAUAUGCUGGGCCACUGGGAUGUAAAUGGCAGACUCGAGGUUGGGACUGGUCUCCCAUCAAUGUCCUAUUGCCUGUGGGCACUGUCCGAAGUCCUGGAACUAGAUACUUUCCUGUCCCUUAGCAUCCUCCUCCCACCAGAGCAGGGCACAGAAGUCAAAGCAGAAGCAACUCUCCAGAGGACCCAGCAGGAGUAGAGGGGGUUACGACAGAGUACACUUUCCCAACAGAUGUAGGUGAGGAGAAGUUCACUAGAAUGCAAGGUGGAACAUCGGAGGGGGUGACAGUCAUCUCCAGAGUGUCACAAUCAGGAAUAUCUGUCCAUGGUGAGAGCAAUCUUAAUGAAUACAGCCUUCCUGUACAGUUUAGAGGUCAGGCCAAUGGUUGAGGGCCCAGCAACCUAGGUUGUUGUCCUUACAUAUUUUGAUGGUUGUAUUUAGCUGCAUACCCAAACAUGACGACCAAAUUCUGUGUAAACUCCUCUUCCUUUGAUGUUAAUAAUCUGACUGGGGAGUCUUUAGCUGCCAUAACAAGGAAAUUGCUUGCCACUGGCUAUGGUGGAGUGGUCAUGGAGACUCUGCUACACUCCCCGGUGAGGUCUCUGCUCCCAGGUCAGCUGAAGCCAGAUCCUAAAUCUUUACCCAGCCAUUGCAGCUGAACUGAGCUGAUGAGUGGUCUGGCAGUUUACAAAAUCUGUCUCCACAACCUCUCCGCUAUCUGUUCUGGCAAUCUGGUUCCAAUCCCCCUGCAACUCCAGCUUAAAUCUCUCCCACUGCCCCCCCUCCCCAACCUCCCAUGUGAAGCACUAGCAAAACCUUCCCAGUAGGAUAUUCGUCCCCCUCUAAUUUAGCUGCAAACUGCCUUUUCUCUAUAGGUCCCACUUUGCCAGGAAGAGAGACCAAUGUUCCAAAAAUCGGAAGCCUUCCCUUCUACAAUAACUCCUGAGACACGUGCUAAAUUGUAUGAACUUCCUGUUUCUGGCCUCAGUAACAGGUGGCAUAGUCACCACGUUUCACCAAGUGCAGAGUGAAAGACACUGAAGCAGGUCGACAGUUCACAGACUUUAAUACAAACGGUGCUAGAGGGAAAAUAAAACAAUAAACACUAGGCCAAGCAGGGCAUUAACUAAAACUCUCAAAGGAAAACAAAGCUUACAUUGCGGCUGAAAAGAACAGCUAAACAUUAUUUUCAAUAUUGCUAGUCUUCAGAGCCAGUUGAUUUGAAAGUCCAAUACCUCAGGGAAGGCCGAAUACACAACAGCAGCGAAGCGUUGCUAUGCUCUGUCUAAGUCUCGAUAAGCACUAUGACGACAAGAAUGGAGUUAACCACUAUCAUGAUUAAAUAAUAAUUAGCUGACACGUGCAAAUUCACAAGCGCAAUUGCCGUAUCUACUGCGCUGCCGAAUCGUGGUUGUGACAGGGACCCCGUCUCUAGGUGCAGCCCCUGACGCGCCACAGACCUGUGUCCGCUGGAAAUCCCAGAUCAGCGACUUGGCCAAGAUGUCCUUUGCUGGGAUCCAAAUACGUUCUUCUGGGCCAUGCCCUUCCCAGUCCACAAGGUAUUGUACCCGGCGAGAUGCCAGGUGGGGAGGAAGGAGAGAUGGGGUGACUGGAGCCAGGGGAGAGGUAGUAACCGGCUUGAGCUGGGAAACAUGUAAUACUGGGUGGAUCUCCAGUGAUGCCGGCAGACGCAAUCUAUAGGAUACCUUGUUGACAGCCUUUUCCACUACAAACGGUCCAACGUAGUGUGAUGCCAAUUUCCGGUUCUCAACUUUCAGGGGAAGAUCCCUAGAUACCAAACAGACCUCCUCCCCUGGCUUGAAUAGCCUUACCUGUCGACAAAAUCGAUCAGCCUGCCCAGAGUGUUGUUUCUGGGGAUGCAGCAGAGUAGCCCUGGCCGGUCUCCAGGUCCGUUUGUAGCGCUGGAUCAGCUGUUCAGCAGCAGGAACUCCUAUGUCGAUCUCCUGAUCAGGGAGGUUCUUGUGUGCGAUCUCUGCCCAAACCAAUUGUGAGCUCCAGGAUGUGUUGUUGAAGGAGGCAAGACAGCGCAGGGUUGUCUCCAACUCCUGGUUCACUCUCCCAGUCUGGCCAUUGGAUUGCAGGUGGAAGCCAGAUGAGAGGCUCCUAUAAGAGAGCAGAAAGCCUUCCAAAAGUGGGGAGUGAAAUGUGGUCCAUGAUCAGACACUAUGUCUUGAGGAAAACAAAGAAGGAACACAUGUUGAACCAUGAGUGCGGCAACGAAGUGGGCAGCUGUGGAAAAUCGGUCCACAAUGUCAAAAAUGGUGGUGUUUCCAUUAGACGGGGGCAGCCCAGUGAUGAAAUCUACAGAGAGGUGGGAUCAGGGGCAGUGGGGCACAGGCAGUGGACAUCCUGGGACAUAGAUGGCCACCAAAAUUGUCUCAUUAUAAACUCCUGAGCCCAUUGAAUUCCCUGAUGUCCAGCCAGAUGGGAGGAGUGACCCCAUCCCAACACUUGGGAAUGCACAGCAGCAGGGACAAACAGCCAUUUGGGAGGUCCCCCAUCCAGGCCUUGAUCUGAUUGUUGGGUGGCCCUCACUCUGCCUCUAUCCCCAGAUCACCGGAGCAGCGAUACACGAGUGAGGAAGAAUGGGCUCUGCACUGGCAUUGUUCUCUGAUCCAUCCAAUGAUAAGUGAGGAGGAAACUGAACCGUGUGAAGAAGAAGAGAGCCCACCGGGCUUGACGACAGUCGAGUCUUGUAGCAUCCUGAGGUUUUUGUGAUCUGUCUAGACCAAGAAUGGAUGCUCUGCCCCCUCCAGCCAGUGUCACCAUUCCUCCUUGAUAGCCAGAAGCUCCUGGUUCCUGAUGUUGUAACUUGACGGGAAAGAAAGGCACAAGGGGGCAGCUGGCUAUCCGCAGACAAGCGCUGAGAGAGGACAGCUCCAAUGCUGACAUCGGAUGCAUUCACCUCAACACUGAAUAGCUGAGAUGGGUCUGGGUGUUGCUGCAAAAGGGCAGUGGUGAAACAUUGCUUUAGCUCAGAAAAUGCUUGGUCGGCAUCAUCCAUCCAAUGGAAUCCUGCCCAGGUCUUCUUGUUGAGUGUAUUAACUGGAGCCGCAAUGGAGGCAAAAUUUCAGAGAAGUGGCGGUAAAAGUUCACAAAACCCUACCUGUUUGACUAUAGACAGUUUGAGCCACUCUGCAACUUGACUAGGGUCCAUUUUAACACUGGACGGGUAAGUAUAUAGGCCAAAAACGACACCUGGUCUUUAUGGAAAUCACAUUUCUCAGGCUUGGCGUGCAAGUCAGUUUUGAGAAGGCGUUUGAGUACUCUCCGGACAUACCAGACGUGCUCCUGAUGACAGCAGGAAUAGAUAAGGAUGUCAUCUAAAUACACAAACUGGUUCAACAUGUCCCUGAGCACAUUGUUAAUCAAGGCCAGACCAAAACGUAUUACCAGGUAUUCAUAGUGACCAUAGUGCAGAAAGCCGUUUUCCACCCACCACCUUCUCUUAUGCGAAGAAGAUUGUAAGCAUUGCGCAGAUCAAUUUUGGAAAUUAUUGUUGCUUCCUGGAGAUGUUCAAACGCAGACGCCAGCAAGGGUAGUGGUUCUUCACGGUGAUGUUGUUCAGGGGCCGAUAAUCGAUGCAGGGACGGAGCUUGCCAUCUUUCUUGCUUACUAAAAAGAAGCCUGCUCCUGCUGGUGAGGGUGACAGACAGAUAAACCCCAUGGCCAAUGCCUCCUUGAUGUAUUCCUCCACGGCCAUCGUUUCAGGAUGAGAAAGGGAAAAGACCCGGACCCCGGGAGGACUAGCGCCAGGUAGGAGGCCUAUGGCACAGUCGUAUGGCCGGUGUGGGGGCAGGGUGGUGGCCUUUCUUUUACUGAAAACAUCAAGGAGAUCUGCAUAUUCAGCUGGAAUCCCAGACAAGUCCACGUCCUUAGCUGACACAGGAGAGGGUUCAUGGAAUGGAGCUUGAGCUGGACCCAGACAGGUAGACAGGCAUGCCAGUCCCCACUCUUGGAGUAUCUUCAGAGACCAAUCGUUCCAUGGGUUAUGUAGGGGUAACCAGGGGAGACCAAGUAGCAGUGGCAGUUCAGGUGAAUUAACCAGAUAGAAAGAUAUUUCAUCAUGAUGGUUGCCUUUGAGCACCAGUUGGAGGGGUUGGGUGGAAAGGCGUAUCUUGACGGUUCCCGGACAUCGACCAUCCAGCGCCUUCCUGAGAUGGGACUCCCCAUCUCUGAGUGAGAGAGAUGUCCAUGAGAUUCCCGGCUGCAGCGGAGUCAAUAAACACGUUACGUUCGUGGGUCUGAGACCUCCAUGACAAGCAAGCUGCAUUACAGAAUUAGGGGAAGCUGACUGAAGAGAGAACCGACCGGUCAGGAUUCCCCUCCCUGGUUACAGGUAUUCUCUUUUACUGGAAGCUUGGCAUGGCCCGGAAGUAUCCUGGAUCGCCAGAAUAGAGGGAGGUACUUGUCUUCCGAUGCCACUCUCGUUCCUCCUGAGACAGGCGCAUGAGCCCCACUUUCAUAGGUUCC
Long non-coding RNA from Hypanus sabinus (Atlantic stingray), 5075 nucleotides. RefSeq lists it as uncharacterized. The record is from RefSeq and is a predicted model, not a curated record. Lineage: Eukaryota; Metazoa; Chordata; Chondrichthyes; Myliobatiformes; Dasyatidae. The transcript is spliced from 3 exons.